AAUAUAUCGAUUUGAUAUAUUUACUUUCUAUCCAACUAUCCAAAUUUACCAUCCCCAUGCCCCCCUUUUUACCGUCUAAACAACAAACCUUCCGGUCUACUUGAUUCACUUUACCAUCCCAAAUAAAAUCCCAUAUUAUCUUAUUUAAGUCUUUUUUUAUGUUUUUCAGGUAUACCUCUUAUUUCUAAUUCAUAACCACACACUGAAAUAAUUAAAUUUUUAACAAUAAGGACUUUUCCAGA
This 242-nucleotide long non-coding RNA is filed under the name Mytilus galloprovincialis (Mediterranean mussel). The record is from RNAcentral. Lineage: Eukaryota; Metazoa; Mollusca; Bivalvia; Mytilida; Mytilidae.